This 93-nucleotide ribosomal RNA is filed under the name uncultured bacterium. RNAcentral describes it as "partial 16S ribosomal RNA". It matches the Rfam family "Bacterial small subunit ribosomal RNA", at positions 1390 to 1482 of the family's 1533-position model. The record is from RNAcentral.
CCGCCCGUCACACCAUGGGAGUCAGUUGCUCCAGAAGUGGCUGUGCCAACCGCAAGGAGGCAGGUCCCCAAGGAGUGACUGGUGACUGGGGUG